This 1238-nucleotide ribosomal RNA is filed under the name Aspergillus sp. RNAcentral describes it as "SSU rRNA". It matches the Rfam family "Bacterial small subunit ribosomal RNA", at positions 65 to 1369 of the family's 1533-position model. Lineage: Eukaryota; Fungi; Ascomycota; Eurotiomycetes; Eurotiales; Aspergillaceae. The record is from RNAcentral.
UACUUUCCCGGGUAGUCUAAUAAACUGAGUAGUAGUGGUGUACAGGUGAGUAAAAGAUAAAUUGGCUACCUUAAAGUAAGGGGGUAAAUCCCUUAUAUAAUAAAGGAGGAGAUAGUAGAAUAAAAGAAAGAAAGAAGUCUAUAGUGCUCCGCUUUAAGAAGUUAAUCUUUAUCUCGGUGAGUAGUAGGAAAGGUAAUGACUUAUUCUAGCAAAUAACCGUAGUCGUGACUGAGAGGUCGAUCGACCACAUUGGGUCUGAAAAAACCCCAAUGCGUAUUAGUACAGCAGUGAGGAAUAUUGGUCAAUGGCCGAAAGGCUGAACCAGUAACUUGGAAGAAUGAAAAUGUAUUAUAAUAAUACAAUAACGAUUAACUCGUGUAAAAUUCUAAAUAGGAUAAUGAUAAUGACAAUUUCCUAUUUAUAAGUCUUGACCAAAUUACGUGCCAGCAGUCGCGGUAAUACGUAGAAGACUAGUGUUAGUCAUCUUUAUUAGGUUUAAAGGGUACCUAGACGGUAAAAUAAACUCUAAAUGAGUACUUUUUUACUAGAGUUUUAUGUGAGAAGGGAGAAUUUCUGGAGGAGAGAUGGAAUAUGUUGAUACCAGAAGGACUGGUAACGGCGAAGGCAUCCUUCUAUGUAAAAACUGACGUUGAGGGACGAAGGCUUGGGUAGCAAUAAGGAUUAGAUACCCUAGUAGUCCAAGCAGACAAUGAUGAAUGUCAUAGACUAGAUAAUGUAUAAUAUAUAAUGUAUUUAGUCUAUAAAUGAAAGUGUAAGCAUUCCACCUCAAGAGUAAUAUGGCAACAUAUAAACUGAAAUCAUUAGACCGUUUCUGAAAUCAGUAGUGAAGUAUGUUAUUUAAUUCGAUAGUCCGCGAAAAACCUUACCACAGUUUGAAUAACAAUAUAAGGGAUAUUGUAACAAGUGCUGCACGGCUGUCUUUAGUUAAUGUCGUGAGAUCUGGUUUACUCCUUUAAUUAACGAAAACCCUCGCUUUAUUUGUAUAUAUAAAGUGGUUCGCCAAUAGAUCGGACCAGAUAAAAGGGAUGAAGACAAGUCAUCAUGGCCUAAAUACUGUGGGCUAUAGACGUGCCACAUACGCCUUAACAAAGGGAUGCGAAAUUGCGAAAUUGAGCUAAUCCCCCAAAAAAGGAUAUAAUAUGGAUUGUAGUCUGUAAUUCGACUACAUGAAUAAGGAAUUACUAGUAAUCGUGAAUCACCAACGUCACGGUGAAUAU